This 92-nucleotide transfer RNA is filed under the name Bacteroidetes bacterium SW_9_63_38. RNAcentral describes it as "tRNA-Ser". It matches the Rfam family "tRNA". Rfam says of the family: Transfer RNA (tRNA) molecules are approximately 80 nucleotides in length. Their secondary structure includes four short double-helical elements and three loops (D, anti-codon, and T loops). The record is from RNAcentral. Lineage: Bacteria; Pseudomonadati; Bacteroidota.
GGAGGGGUGGCAGAGCCUGGUUGAAUGCACCGGUCUUGAAAACCGGCAGGCCCUCUGUGGUCUCGGGGGUUCGAAUCCCUCCCCCUCCGCCG